GAUGAAGAACGUAGCGAAAUGCGAUACGUAAUGUGAAUUGCAGAAUUCAGUGAAUCAUCGAAUCUUUGAACGCAUAUUGCGCUCUCUGGUAUUCCGGAGAGCAUGCUUGUUUGAGUAUCAGUAAACACCUCAACUCCCUUUUCUUUUUUGAAAUUGGAGCUGGACUUGAGUGAUCCCAACGCUUUCUUCCAAGAAAGUGGCGGGUUGCUUGAAAUGCAGGUGCAGCUGAACUUUUCUCUGAGCUAUAAGCAUAUCUAUUUAGUCUGCCUAAAAAACAGAUUAUUACCUUUGCUGCAGCUAACAUAAAGGAGACUAGUUCUUGUGCUGACUGAUGCAGGAUUCACAGAGACAGCUUCGGCUGACUUUGUAAACUCGAUCUCAAAUCAAGUAAGACUACCCGCUGAACUUAAGUAUAUCAAUAAGCGGAGGA
This 430-nucleotide unclassified non-coding RNA is filed under the name soil metagenome. Its description in RNAcentral is "partial contains 5.8S ribosomal RNA, internal transcribed spacer 2, and large subunit ribosomal RNA". The stretch from base 1 to 120 matches the Rfam family "5.8S ribosomal RNA", at positions 35 to 154 of the family's 154-position model. The record is from RNAcentral.